CCUACGGGCGGCAGCAGUGGGGAAUAUUGGACAAUGGGGGCAACCCUGAUCCAGCCAUGCCGCGUGUGUGAAGAAGGCCCUCGGGUUGUAAAGCACUUUCAGUGAGGAAGAACGCCUGGUGGUUAAUACCCAUCAGGAAAGACAUCACUCACAGAAGAAGCACCGGCUAACUCCGUGCCAGCAGCCGCGGUAAUACGGAGGGGGCGAGCGUUAAUCGGAAUUACUGGGCGUAAAGCGCGCGUAGGUGGCUUGAUAAGCCGGUUGUGAAAGCCCCGGGCUCAACCUGGGAACGGCAUCCGGAACUGUCAAGCUAGAGUGCAGGAGAGGAAGGUAGAAUUCCCGGUGUAGCGGUGAAAUGCGUAGAGAUCGGGAGGAAUACCAGUGGCGAAGGCGGCCUUCUGGACUGACACUGACACUGAGGUGCGAAAGCGUGGGUAGCAAACAGGAUUAGAUACCCCAGUAGUC
Molecule: ribosomal RNA, 465 nt
Filed under: Vreelandella stevensii
Lineage: Bacteria; Pseudomonadati; Pseudomonadota; Gammaproteobacteria; Oceanospirillales; Halomonadaceae
Description: partial 16S ribosomal RNA
Rfam family: Bacterial small subunit ribosomal RNA
Source: RNAcentral